UAAGGAAUAUUGGACAAUGGACGAAAGUCUGAUCCAGCCAUGCCGCGUGAAGGAUUAAGGUCCUCUGGAUUGUAAACUUCUUUUAUAUGGGACGAAAAAAGGGAAUUCUUUCUCACUUGACGGUACCAUGUGAAUAAGCACCGGCUAACUCCGUGCCAGCAGCCGCGGUAAUACGGAGGGUGCAAGCGUUAUCCGGAUUCACUGGGUUUAAAGGGUGCGUAGGCGGGUAGGUAAGUCAGUGGUGAAAUCUCAGAGCUUAACUCUGAAACUGCCAUUGAUACUAUUUAUCUUGAAUAUUGUGGAGGUAAGCGGAAUAUGUCAUGUAGCGGUGAAAUGCUUAGAUAUGACAUAGAACACCCAUUGCGAAGGCAGCUUACUACGCAUAUAUUGACGCUGAGGCACGAAAGCGUGGGGAUCAAACAGG
RNAcentral lists this ribosomal RNA (424 nucleotides) under Bacillota bacterium. Its description in RNAcentral is "Firmicutes bacterium partial 16S ribosomal RNA". It matches the Rfam family "Bacterial small subunit ribosomal RNA", at positions 355 to 776 of the family's 1533-position model. The record is from RNAcentral. Lineage: Bacteria; Bacillati; Bacillota. RNAcentral also lists the same sequence under 1 other name.